AGUGUUCCUCUGUUCAGCAUUUACAGGGUGUGUUGUACAAUGUAAUAAAAUAUUUAUUUAUUUCUUAAUGCAUACUCAAGAAUAUAUUCAGCACUUAUUUUGAUUAUUUAAAUAGUUGCGGUGUGGACUGUGCCUAAGAAUUCCCCACAGCGCCGGCUAUGUAGACAGCGUGUGAAAAUGGAAUCCAAAUGCUCACAAGAAAUGACAAAAGCAGCAUGAAGAUUAACACAAAGAAAUUGUGCCAGAAAAGUUUGAAGUAGCUAUGGGAAUGAUCAACAUUGAACUUGCUGAGCCUUCCUUCUGAAAGUGACUUGACCAGAUAU
Long non-coding RNA from Saccostrea cuccullata (small rock oyster), 323 nucleotides. RefSeq lists it as uncharacterized. Lineage: Eukaryota; Metazoa; Mollusca; Bivalvia; Ostreida; Ostreidae. The record is from RefSeq and is a predicted model, not a curated record. The transcript has 3 exons.